This 622-nucleotide ribosomal RNA is filed under the name uncultured Geobacteraceae bacterium. Its description in RNAcentral is "bacterial SSU rRNA". The stretch from base 77 to 622 matches the Rfam family "Bacterial small subunit ribosomal RNA", at positions 1 to 526 of the family's 1533-position model. The record is from RNAcentral. Lineage: Bacteria; Pseudomonadati; Thermodesulfobacteriota; Desulfuromonadia; Geobacterales; Geobacteraceae.
GSMMUGUUCUAGCUGUUUCAUGWGGCUGUAAACGACGGCCWGUGRAUCCGKAMUCRKGGUCGAGSUGUUUCCAGUGCGUGCUUAAAGUUUGAUCCUGGCUCWKAACRAAYGCUGGCGGCGUGCUUAACACAUGCAAGUCGAACGUGAUUGAGAGCUUGCUCUCAUGAAAGUGGCGCACGGGUGAGUAACACGUGGAUAAUCUGCCUGGCGAUUCGGGAUAACACUUCGAAAGGGGUGCUAAUACCGGAUAAGCCCACGGUCUCUUCGGAGAGCGCGGGAAAAGGGGGCCUCUGUAUAUGCUCCUGUCGCUAGAUGAGUCCGCGGCCCAUUAGCUAGUUGGUAGGGUAAUGGCCUACCAAGGCUACGAUGGGUAGCUGGUCUGAGAGGAUGAUCAGCCACMCUGGAACUGAGACACGGUCCARACUCCUACGGGAGGCAGCAGUGGGGAAUUUUGCGCAAUGGGCGAAAGCCUGACGCAGCAACGCCGCGUGAGUGAUGAAGGCCUUCGGGUCGUAAAGCUCUGUCAGAGGGGAAGAACCGCCGGGUGGCUAAUACCUGCCUGGUCUGACGGUACCCUCAAAGGAAGCACCGGCUAACUCCGUGCCAGCAGCCGCGGUAAUAC